UCCCUGGUGGCCCAGUGGUUAAGGAUCUGGCACUGUCACUGCUGUGGUGCGGGUUCGAUCCCUGGCCUGGGAA
This 73-nucleotide transfer RNA is filed under the name Sus scrofa (pig). It matches the Rfam family "tRNA". From Rfam's summary of the family: Transfer RNA (tRNA) molecules are approximately 80 nucleotides in length. Their secondary structure includes four short double-helical elements and three loops (D, anti-codon, and T loops). Further hydrogen bonds mediate the characteristic L-shaped molecular structure. tRNAs have two regions of fundamental functional importance: the anti-codon, which is responsible for specific mRNA codon recognition, and the 3' end, to which the tRNAs corresponding amino acid is attached (by aminoacyl-tRNA synthetases). tRNAs cope with the degeneracy of the genetic code in two manners: having more than one tRNA (with a specific anti-codon) for a particular amino acid; and 'wobble' base-pairing, i.e. permitting non-standard base-pairing at the 3rd anti-codon position. The record is from Rfam by way of RNAcentral. Lineage: Eukaryota; Metazoa; Chordata; Mammalia; Artiodactyla; Suidae.